This 60-nucleotide transfer RNA is filed under the name Sphaerodactylus townsendi. RNAcentral describes it as "tRNA-Leu". It matches the Rfam family "tRNA". From Rfam's summary of the family: Transfer RNA (tRNA) molecules are approximately 80 nucleotides in length. Lineage: Eukaryota; Metazoa; Chordata; Lepidosauria; Squamata; Sphaerodactylidae. The record is from RNAcentral.
GGGGCUGUGGCUUAGUGGUAGAGCACCAGAAGGUCCCGGGUUCAAUCCCCAGUAUCUCCA